AGAUUGAACGCUGGCGGCAUGCCUUACACAUGCAAGUCGAACGGCAGCACGGGGGCAACCCUGGUGGCGAGUGGCGAACGGGUGAGUAACAUAUCGGAACGUGCCCUGGAGUGGGGGAUAACUAGUCGAAAGAUUAGCUAAUACCGCAUACGAUCUACGGAUGAAAGUGGGGGAUCGCAAGACCUCAUGCUCGUGGAGCGGCCGAUAUCUGAUUAGCUAGUUGGUGGGUAAAGGCCUACCAAGGCAUCGAUCAGUAGCUGGUCUGAGAGGACGACCAGCCACACUGGGACUGAGACACGGCCCAGACUCCUACGGGAGGCAGCAGUGGGGAAUUUUGGACAAUGGGCGCAAGCCUGAUCCAGCAAUGCCGCGUGAGUGAAGAAGGCCUCGGUUGUAAGCUCUUUGUCAGGAAGAAACGGUGGAGGCUAAUACCUUCUGCUAAGUAGACGUACUAGAAGAAGUAA
This 464-nucleotide ribosomal RNA is filed under the name uncultured soil bacterium. Its description in RNAcentral is "bacterial SSU rRNA". It matches the Rfam family "Bacterial small subunit ribosomal RNA", at positions 26 to 493 of the family's 1533-position model. The record is from RNAcentral.